AUCGUUAUCGCUCGUAAAAUAUAACAAAGAAACAAAGCCCGAUAUUCUAUAAACCAAAAGCCAUUUCCCAUAUAAACCUCAGAAAGAGCAUACGGAGAGAGGCGUGGCGGGCUUACAAUUGGAGAAACCCAAUUUUCAAUUUCUAGUGUUUUCCAUCUCUUUCAUCUCCAAAAUUUCCCACUAAUAAUCAUUUGAAAACCGCUUGAAAAAAAAUUCCGAAAAAAUUCCGCAAAAUUCACCAGUCUUGGUCCGAAAUGGGAAACCGAAGGUUUGCUCAGGUAUCCACGAGCGACGACGAGGACGAAGUCCCGAUACCUCCCCGACGUUUGCGGUCCGAAGAUAAGAGGCAAGAAAGUAAGAGGAAGAAAAUGAAACUACAAGAAGCAGACGAUGAAGAGGAUGAAGAAAGGGAAAUGAAGAGAAAGAGGAAGAGGAAGAAAAAGCGGGACGAAGAUGAGGAAGAAGAUGAAGAGGAAGAGGAAGGGGGAGUUCAGGAGGAUGCAAAGCCGAUAGGGGAGGUAGUUAGAGUUUCUGGGAAAGGGAGAGGAAGGAGGAGUCAUUAUGAGGCUUUUGAGUUUGAUGGCAAUCGAUAUGAUCUUGAGGAUCCAGUUCUUUUAGUUCCUGAAGAUACAGAACAGAAGCCUUAUGUGGCUAUCAUUAAGGACAUUAGUCAGACUAAAGCUGGAAGCAUUAUGGUUACUGGGCAGUGGUUUUAUCGCCCUGAAGAGGCUGAGAGAAAGGGUGGCGGAAGCUGGCAAUCACGUGAUACAAGGGAGCUCUUUUAUAGCUUCCACCGGGAUGAGGUUCCAGCAGAAUCUGUGAUGCACAAGUGUGUGGUUCACUUUGUUCCCAUACACAAGCAACUUCCAAACCGUAAACAGCAUCCUGGUUUUAUUGUGCAGAAAGUUUAUGAUACCGUGGAGCGAAAGCUUUGGAAGCUAACUGAUAAAGAUUAUGAGGAUAAUAAACAGCAUGAGAUUGAUCUUCUUGUUCAAAAAACUUUAUCACGUUUGGGAGAGCUCCCUGACAUUGAGAUUGAUGAUGCUGCUGCAGUUGUUGAUCAGGAAGAGCAGUUGAAGGCGAAAAGAACACUCAGGAAAAAGAACAUUUCACCUCUUGAUGUUACGAGGGAAGAUGAAGGAACUACAAAGUCUGAUCAACAUCUGAGAGCUGAAACUCCGGGAAGUUGUGCAAGUAAUACCACUGAAUAUUACACAAUUUUGUCUAAAUCUAAGGUGCUAACUGGAGAAACUCAUCGUGAUAAGUGGAUGGAGAGGCUUCUCCAAGGAGUUCAAUACAUGUGUAGUUCUCCUGAUAGCAUGCAUAUCGAUGACAAAGUAAAAGGUGGUUCUGAUAGCCUGGAAUGUGAAAGAGACACUAAGACUUCGGGAACUGCAAAUGGAUCCCUAGAGAAGAGUUCAAAUAGUAGCAAGUUUUUUCCGUGGCCUGAUGCUGCUAUUCCUGCUGUAACUGCUCUUGAGAAGGCAUCACAUGAUACUCUUUCUUCUGAUUUCCAGAAAUAUAACCAGAAGUUAAGGCAGCUUGUGUUCAAUCUGAAGAACAAUCCAUUGCUAGCUCGACGUCUACUAAAUGGAGAAUUAGAACCUUCAACAAUACUUAACAUGUCACCUAUUGAGUUGAAGGACGGUUUAACUGCAGAAGAGACAGCAACAAAAGAGCCUGAUGAGUCAGAGCGCAUGCAGAUGACUGAUGCUCGGUGCUCAAGAUGCAUGGAAUCUAAAGUUGGUCUAAGGGACAUUAUCCAAGCAGGACAUGGAGAUCGUUACAAGGUUCGUUACCAGGUUAUCUCAUAUUUUCUUCUCCUAUUCAAUCACUGUUACUAUGUUAAUUAGAAGAGGCUGGGAUCACUAUGAUGGUAGUAAGUUGAUUGAACUAGUACUUCUUUGUUUGUCUUUCUGUCUAGCUAGACACGUACAUGCACCAAUUGUUGAACUUGUUGUAUGAGAGUCAUCCAUGUGAAACUGCAGAGAUGGGUAUGGGAUCUCUAUGCAUAAUGUUGUCAACAUCUCUCUGGAUUAUGCAUGCUUAUUUGUCUGUAUGCUUUUUGAGUUUUAGAAUUUUGUACAAGAUUUCAGACCAAUGACAAAAAGUUCAAUAACCAUAUUGAACAAUAGGACAAUUGUUUUGGAUAGAUAUUACUUUUUAUUAGAUCACAGUGUUGGCACAGGUGUAAUAUAUCCGAGUUACAAGAUGGUAUCAUAAUUUUUUCAUUGUUGUCUGAAUUGGAUAUAGACAUGCAUUGAUCCUGCAUCUGUGAAUGUCUGGUUGAGUUGCUAUUUAAAAAUUUGAUAAGAUAGGACAUAUUAUAUAAAGUGUAUAAUCAGCAUCAAAAGGGUAAUUGUAUAUUAGGGGUGGGGAAAGAGAGUAAGAGACACUGAAGCUUAUGAAAAAAAGUUAAAGAUGCCAAUUAUGAUUAAACUCUAAGGAUGAGUGUUAUGACUGGAAUUUCUAGUGUAUGAUUUAACUUCAAGGAUGAGUAUUAUGACUGGAAUUCCUAGUAAUUAUUGGGUUUGUUGGACUGGCAUCAUGUCAUACAGACCAUGUUGUCUAGAUAUACCGAGGUAAGUGCAUGUGUCAGAAACCUAAAGAGGAGUUUUGAAUUUCACAUCGGAUAUAAAAGGAGGGUCACUGGGGUAUAAAAAGGUUCACACCACCUUCCCUUUGUGAGGUACUUUUUGUAGGACAAAAAUGUGAGGCUAAGGGAGCUAGAGUGGACAAUAUCUUACAAGGGUGUGAACCAUGGCAGUUAGGUUGAUUUGAGACACUGGAUGAGUGGAUGUUUGGGUCUCGGAGCCGUGCGGGUCGGAGCUUAAGUCUUGACUCGUGAUAAGUAGUAUUAGAGUCAGCUUUAAAUCAUUUGAUUUAUGCUAAACUCUUCGAGAGAGGUAGGCAGGGUGACCAGCUUCUAUGAUGAGGGUGUCACAAGGUUGGGUAGGAGAGAAUGUCAUAGACUUAAGAAAGAGUUUUGAAUCCCACAUCGGAUAUAAAAAGAGGAUUAUUGGGGUAUAAAAGAGUUCACACUACCUUUUUUUGUGAGGUGUCUUUUGUAGGAUAAAACUGUGAGAUCAAGGGGGUCAGAGUGAAUAAUACCUCACAAGGGUGUGAACCGUAGCAAUUAGGUUGAUUUGGGACACCGGAUGAGUGGAUGCCUGAGUCCCGGAGCUAUGCGAGUCGGAGCUUAAAUCUUGACCCAUGACACAUGCAGCUUAGUACUACCAUUUGCACUGUAAAGCCUAUUGGUUUAAGAACCUAAAUUCCAGUUGGAAUGUAUUGGUUGUGGGAAUUCCUGGUAUGCUUCUAGAGAUGAGGCAUCUUCACUUACAAUAGAGCCCUCAAGUUCCGCAAAAGGUGCUGGUACAAGAAGAUCUGCCAUG
Molecule: RNA transcript, 3395 nt
Organism: Durio zibethinus
Lineage: Eukaryota; Viridiplantae; Streptophyta; Magnoliopsida; Malvales; Malvaceae
Gene name: ASI1-immunoprecipitated protein 3-like
Source: RefSeq, a predicted model, not a curated record